UCAGCAUCUGUCUGCUUGCCUGCAUUGUCU
RNAcentral lists this non-coding RNA (30 nucleotides) under Rattus norvegicus (Norway rat). The record is from RNAcentral. Lineage: Eukaryota; Metazoa; Chordata; Mammalia; Rodentia; Muridae.